Molecule: ribosomal RNA, 253 nt
Filed under: uncultured bacterium
Lineage: Bacteria
Description: partial 16S ribosomal RNA
Rfam family: Bacterial small subunit ribosomal RNA
Source: RNAcentral
UACGGAGGGUGCGAGCGUUGUCCGGAAUCACUGGGCGUAAAGGGCGCGUAGGCGGCCUGAUAAGUAGGGGGUGAAAUCUUGCGGCUUAACCGCAAGGCUGCCUUCUAAACUGUCGGGCUCGAGCACAGUAGAGGCAGGUGGAAUUCCCGGUGUAGCGGUGGAAUGCGUAGAGAUCGGGAAGAACAUCAGUGGCGAAGGCGGCCUGCUGGGCUGUUGUUGACGCUGAGGCGCGACAGCGUGGGGGGCAAACAGG